GUUCUUCUCAGGGACUGGAGUUCACUGGAAUCCCGAGCGGAAGCAAGGUGAGCCUCUCCAGCUAGCUGCCCUUGAAGGUGGGCAACUUCGUCGGUCGCCAUCCUGAGCCUUCCCUUGUAUUCAUCCACCUGCUUGCACCAGCCGGCCCAAUAUGCGUCAUAGCUCGCCUCGGCAUCCUGGAGUUGUUGUCAGAGGUCAGAGACCUUC
RNAcentral lists this long non-coding RNA (207 nucleotides) under Elaeis guineensis (African oil palm). Its description in RNAcentral is "long non-coding RNA (EGUI_LNC065691)". The record is from RNAcentral. Lineage: Eukaryota; Viridiplantae; Streptophyta; Magnoliopsida; Arecales; Arecaceae.